GCAAUCUGUCGCUUUAUCAAUCAGCUGGCUGUGUUUUUCCGCCUAGACUCUUCAGGCGAUAAACACUUCAUUUGUCCAGUGCCACAAAAACACUAGAGCAGGACAGGGAUGCGGGGCGUGCUGGAGCCCAUCCCAGCAGUCAUUGGGAGAGAGGCAGGAAUACACCCUGGACAGGUCGCCAGUCCAUCGCAGGACACACACGCAGAGGGCAUAGCUGGAAACCAGAGAAGACCCACGCGCACACGGGGAGAGCAACUCUGUGAAAGGCUUCUGCUGAUUCCUCCUCGACAGAGAGUCCAGUGAUCAGACGGACAUCACAUCCUGGUGAGGAGUCGGCGCCGACGAUGCUGCAGGACUGAUGGAGCUCUUAUAGAGAGAGAGAG
Long non-coding RNA from Synchiropus splendidus (mandarinfish), 383 nucleotides. RefSeq lists it as uncharacterized. Lineage: Eukaryota; Metazoa; Chordata; Actinopteri; Syngnathiformes; Callionymidae. The transcript is spliced from 3 exons. The record is from RefSeq and is a predicted model, not a curated record.